GGAAUUCUGUCGUCUGGGAACGGCUGGUUUCGCGGUCAGACGCCGAGGGCCCUCGAAGUCCCUAGCAACGGCUGCGGAGAGAGAUGCUUCUACAAAUCUAUUAUGGAACAAAGGGAAGAAUAAAACCAACCAAAAGUCAGUUACCUGGGCCUGGAUCAUCUUCUUCUGUUCUUGGAAGACAGCAUUCAACUGGGAUGGUCUGUCUUUGUAUCUUCUGGCCUUCUCUUCAGAAGUCUCAGUCUUCAAUCAAGUGUGCCCCUAGAAAUGGUGAACCCCAAAUCCACUUCCUUCCUCUUCAGGUUAUGUUUUUUGCUCCUGAGGAGUCAUAACCUGUGGGUUGAAG
RNAcentral lists this long non-coding RNA (343 nucleotides) under Pan troglodytes (chimpanzee). RNAcentral describes it as "long non-coding RNA NONPTRT008200". The record is from RNAcentral. Lineage: Eukaryota; Metazoa; Chordata; Mammalia; Primates; Hominidae.